RNAcentral lists this ribosomal RNA (288 nucleotides) under Triticum aestivum (bread wheat). RNAcentral's name for it is "partial small subunit ribosomal RNA". Lineage: Eukaryota; Viridiplantae; Streptophyta; Magnoliopsida; Poales; Poaceae. The record is from RNAcentral.
AUGCGUCUAAUCAAAAGAACUUUUCUUAUUCGUCUUUUUCUAUCUUCCCACUCAUCUCCACUAUACCCCUCGUCUUCUAAUUCCUUCAGUUCGACCAAAGAAUUCUCUAUAAUAAUUCGCAAAUCCAAAUCUGCUAAUUGUUCUCUAAUAGCACCUGCUCCUGUCGCAAUUUCCCGAUUUCGAAAUGUUGCAAAGCCUGGGGUAGAAAAAAAGGGAGAAAUGCUGUGGUUACAGGAUGCAAUUUCCUCUUCGAAUAAACCUCGUAAUCGUAAAAAGUGGGUUUUUUAG